This 551-nucleotide long non-coding RNA is filed under the name Homo sapiens (human). RNAcentral describes it as "HSALNT0059687". Lineage: Eukaryota; Metazoa; Chordata; Mammalia; Primates; Hominidae. The record is from RNAcentral.
GCGGGGCCAGGGCCGCGGGGCGGAGCCGGGACAGGGUCCACGGCAGCCGCCAUCUUGGCUGAGGGCAAAGACGCUCCUGGCGCUCCCGUCUUUCGGCUUGCCUCAGUUGCCACUGCCAUCUUGGAUCAGGGGCGGUUGACGGUGGAUUCACUUCCCAUCAGCCCUUGAGGCUGCAGGGACCAGCCCUUUGUACAGUGGAGAAGCCCAGGCGGCCUAGAAUCCAGUGUCGUCCGUGAGUGCUUGGCUGGUGUUCAAGUGCAUCUUCCAGCCUGAGACCGCGUGGACUCGCUCAUCGUGAGGGCGAGAGGAGGAUAAGCCCAUUGGGCUGUCGGCUGAGAGUGAGGUGCGGGACCAUCCACAAUAUUGUUUGAACAUCUGAAGACAUGGGGAACUUGCCAUCUGAUAUCUGAUAACAGACUUCCUGUAAAGCAGGACUGGUAGUUUCCUGAUAACAAAUUCUUCAAUAUGAAGGAUAUAGCUGUGUCCUUUACAACUGGUAGCAUGGAAAGAAAGAGAAGUCUGCAAAGAUUGAACAAACAGCAUGCACUGUG